Oncorhynchus tshawytscha (Chinook salmon) is the source of this 703-nucleotide long non-coding RNA. The record is from Ensembl. Lineage: Eukaryota; Metazoa; Chordata; Actinopteri; Salmoniformes; Salmonidae.
GGAGGUUAUAUACAGGAGGUACCGGUCCAGAGUCCAUGUGGAGGCUAUAUACAGGAGGUACCGGUCCAGAGUCCAUGUGGAGGCUAUAUACAGGAGGUACCGGUCCAGAGUCCAUGUGGAGGUUAUAUACAGGAGGUACCGGUCCAGAGUCCAUGUGGAGGUUAUAUACAGGAGGUACCGGUCCAGAGUCCAUGUGGAGGCUAUAUACAGGGGGUACCGGUCCAGAGUCAAUGUGGAGGUUAUAUACAGGAGGCUCUUAACCAACAAUGCAGUUUUAAGAAAAAUAAGUGUUAAGAAAGCAUUUACUAAAAUAACCUGAGUCCAGAGUCCAUGUGGAGGUUAUAUACAGGAGGUACCGGUCCAGAGUCCAUGUGGAGGCUAUAUACAGGAGGUACCGGUCCAGAGUCCAUGUGGAGGCUAUAUACAGGAGGUACCGGUCCAGAGUCCAUGUGGAGGCUAUACACAGGAGGUACCGGUCCAGAGUCCAUGUGGAGGCUAUAUACAGGAGGUACCGGUCCAGAGUCCAUGUGGAGGUUAUAUACAGGAGGUACCGGUCCAGAGUCCAUGUGGAGGCUAUAUACAGGGGGUACCGGUACAGAGUCCAUGUGGAGGCUAUAUACAGGGGGUACCGGUACAGAGUCAAUGUGGAGGCUAUAUACAGGGGGUACCGGUACAGAGUCCAUGUGGAGGCUAUAUACAGGGG